UUCGGCACACAGCUCAGUAGCACGUGGCUAACCUGCCCUUGGGACGGGAACACCCCGGGAAACUGGGGCUAAUUCCCGAUAGGUGAAGAUUCCUGGAAUGGGUUUUUGCCGAAAAGACGUUUGGGGCAUGCUUCUAGGCGUUGCCCAAGGAUGGGGCCGCGGCCGAUCAGGUUGUUGGUGAGGUAAUGGCUCACCAAGCCUUUAACCGGUUCGGGCCGUGGGAGCGGUAGCCCGGAGAUGGGCACUGAGACAAGGGCCCAGGCCCUACGGGGCGCAGCAGUCGCGAAAACUUCGCAAUAAGCGAAAGCUUGACGGGGCCAUCCCGAGUGCCAUCUGCUGAGGAUGGCUUUUACCCAGUAUAGAUAGCUGGGGGAAUAAGGAGAGGGCAAGUCUGGUGUCAGCCGCCGCGGUAAUACCAGCUCUCCGAGUUGUGGGGACGUUUAUUGAGCCUAAAGCAUCCGUAGCCGGCUGGGCAAGUCCUCUGUUAAAUCCAGCGACAAAUCGUUGGCCUGCGGGGGAUACUGCUCGGCUAGGGGGCGGGAGAGGCCGUCGGUAUUCUUGGGGUAGGGGUGAAAUCCUAUAAUCCCAGGAGGACCACCAGUGGCGAAGGCUGUCGGCUAGAACGCGCCCGACGGUGAGGGAUGAAAGCUGGGGGAGCGAACCGGAUUAGAUACCCGGGUAGUCCCAGCUGUAAACGAUGCAGGCUAGGUGUUAGGGCGGCUACGUGCCGCUCUAGUGCCGCAGGGAAGCUGUUAAGCCUGCCGCUUGGGGAGUACGGCCGGCAGGCUGAAC
RNAcentral lists this ribosomal RNA (792 nucleotides) under uncultured soil archaeon. Its description in RNAcentral is "bacterial SSU rRNA". It matches the Rfam family "Archaeal small subunit ribosomal RNA", at positions 77 to 854 of the family's 1478-position model. The record is from RNAcentral.